Molecule: small nuclear RNA, 106 nt
Filed under: Dasypus novemcinctus (nine-banded armadillo)
Lineage: Eukaryota; Metazoa; Chordata; Mammalia; Cingulata; Dasypodidae
Source: RNAcentral
GUACUUGCUUUCGCAGCACAUAUACUAAAAUUGGACACUACAGAGAAGAUUAGCAUGACUCCUGCACAAAGAUGACAUGUAAAUUUUCCAUAUUUAAAAAAAAAUU